CAUGCCACUCAGAGCAGCAUGUCUGGCAGCCGCGCCGCUCGGCUGGAGCCAGACGCUCUGCCCUGCAGGAGCGCGCAGCCACGCUGCCCAGAGUGCUGCCCGCACAGCGGCGUGGCUGCGAGGGUGAGGGGACAGCAGGGGAGGGGCCGGGGGCUAGCGUCCCCGGUCAGGAGCUCAAGAGCCAGGCAAGAUGGUCCCACAGGCCGGAGGUGGCCCGCGGGUUGUCGUUUGCCCACCUCUGUGCUAGAUGAUCUACAGAUACAUAAUAAGAGCAAGUCCUUGCCCCAAAGAGCUUACAGUUUAAGGCCUCGAUACAGCAGCUGUCUCCAUGCUCUCAGGCCCCUGAGGGAAUGGGACCACUUGUCAAUAAAGUUACUCACAUGUAUAAGUGCUAAAAGGAUCAAGGCUGAAUUCAACUGAAGCUGCACAAGUCGGAAGAAGGAUGGUCCAACAGUCAAGGUGCUAGCAUGGGAUGAUGAAGAUCUUUGUUUAAGUCCUUUCUCUGUCACAGACCCCCUCUGCCACCUUAGCCAAGUCUUUUAGUCUCUCUCUGCCUCCAUUCCCCAGCUGUGAAGUGGGGAUAUUAGCACUGCCUUACCUCACAGGGGUGUUGUGGGGAGGUAGGAAAAGGGUUACGGUAAAAGAUAAAGCGGUUACAUACCUAUGAGCUUAUUUUGAUGGGGCAGAAGCUUCUCUAAUGGUGAAGCUCAUAGCUUCUGCCCCAUCAUGCUUAAUACAAAUUAUGAUUGGCCAUGGAAGUGUAAAAAUACCAGUCUUCGAGAAAUAGUCAGCGAAGAAGAAAUGAUGGUUGUUUUAGAUUUUAUGUAUGCAAUUAUUGGUUUAUUUUCCAAAGUUUGUUUAUGCCAGGAAUCGCCUAGAAUCUGAGUAGGAUUUUCUAAUCAAAUUAUAGCCGUGGUUUUUGUAGGUAAAUUCUUGCUAAUUUUAUUUCUUCCUCCCUGCACCGUGAUGUCCAUUUUGGGGACUGGUUGACCUGCGGCAGAGCUGCUUUAUGAAAGGGGGUAGUGCUAAGUCUCUUAGCUGCGAUGCCU
Molecule: non-coding RNA, 1049 nt
Organism: Chrysemys picta bellii (western painted turtle)
Lineage: Eukaryota; Metazoa; Chordata; Testudines; Emydidae
Source: RefSeq, a predicted model, not a curated record